RNAcentral lists this ribosomal RNA (843 nucleotides) under uncultured bacterium. RNAcentral describes it as "bacterial SSU rRNA". It matches the Rfam family "Bacterial small subunit ribosomal RNA", at positions 21 to 875 of the family's 1533-position model. The record is from RNAcentral.
GGCUCAGGAUGAACGCUGGCGGCGUGCCUAAUACAUGCAAGUCGAACGAGGUGCUUUGUAGCAAUACGAAGUAUCCUAGUGGCGAACGGGUGAGUAACGCGUUGGUGACCUACCCCAAAGUGUGGGAUAACAGUCCGAAAGGAUUGCUAAUACCGCAUGUGGUCUCUGGAUUUAGAAACCGGUGACUAAAGGAGCAAUUCGCUUUGGGAGGGACCUGCGUCCCAUCAGCUAGUUGGUGAGGUAACGGCUCACCAAGGCGACGACGGGUAGGGGACCUGAGAGGGUGGCCCCCCACAAUGGAACUGAAACACGGUCCAUACACCUACGGGUGGCAGCAGUAGGGAAUAUUGGUCAAUGGGCGAAAGCCUGAACCAGCAACGCCGCGUGUGCGAUGAAGGCCUUCGGGUCGUAAAGCACUUUUCUGGGAGAUGAGAAAGGACAGUAUCCCAGGAAUAAGUCUCGGCUAACUACGUGCCAGCAGCCGCGGUAAAACGUAGGAGGCGAGCGUUAUCCGGAUUCACUGGGCGUAAAGCGCGUGCAGGUGGCUUGGUAAGUUAGGCGUGAAAUCUCCCGGCUCAACUGGGAGAGGUCGUCUAAUACUACCGGGCUUGAGAGCAGAAGAGGAAGAUGGAAUUCCCGGUGUAGUGGUGAAAUGCGUAGAUAUCGGGAGGAACACCAGUGGCGAAGGCGAUCUUCUGGUCUGUUUCUGACACUCAGACGCGACAGCUAGGGUAGUAAACGGGAUUAGAGACCCCGGUAAUCCUAGCCGUAAACGAUGUAAACUUGGCGUUGGUGGGUUAAACUCCAUCAGUGCCGCAGCAAACGCGAUAAGUUUACCGCCUG